GCGGCAGUGAUCUAACGGCAUGAUUCGAGCUUCCCAAGCUUGCUGUCCGGGUCCAAUUCCCGGCUGCCGCA
Molecule: transfer RNA, 71 nt
Filed under: Candidatus Woesearchaeota archaeon
Lineage: Archaea; Nanobdellati; Candidatus Woesearchaeota
Description: tRNA-Gly
Rfam family: tRNA
About the family: Transfer RNA (tRNA) molecules are approximately 80 nucleotides in length. Their secondary structure includes four short double-helical elements and three loops (D, anti-codon, and T loops).
Source: RNAcentral